UAGGGAAUCUUCCACAAUGGACGCAAGUCUGAUGGAGCAACGCCGCGUGAGUGAAGAAGGUUUUCGGACCGUAAAGCUCUGUUGUUGGUGAAGAAGGAUAGAGGUAGUAACUGGCCUUUAUUUGACGGUAAUCAACCAGAAAGUCACGGCUAACUACGUGCCAGCAGCCGCGGUAAUACGUAGGUGGCAAGCGUUGUCCGGAUUUAUUGGGCGUAAAGCGAGCGCAGGCGGAAGAAUAAGUCUGAUGUGAAAGCCCUCGGCUUAACCGAGGAAUUGCAUCGGAACUGUUUUCUUGAGUGCAGAAGAGGAGAGUAGAACUCCAUGUGUAGCGGUGGAAUGCGUAGAUAUAUGGAAGAAUACCAGUGGCGAAGGCGGCUCUCUGGUCUGCAACUGACGCUGAGGCUCGAAAGCAUGGUAGCGAACAGGAUUAGAUAC
RNAcentral lists this ribosomal RNA (435 nucleotides) under uncultured bacterium. RNAcentral describes it as "partial 16S ribosomal RNA". It matches the Rfam family "Bacterial small subunit ribosomal RNA", at positions 355 to 785 of the family's 1533-position model. The record is from RNAcentral.